AGAACGAACGCUGGCGGCAUGCCUAAUACAUGCAAGUCGAACGAACACUUCGGUGUUAGUGGCGCACGGGUGCGUAACGCGUGGGAAUCUGCCCUUGGGUUCGGAAUAACAGUUGGAAACGACUGCUAAUACCGGAUGAUAUCGAAAGAUCAAAGAUUUAUCGCCCAGGGAUGAGCCCGCGUAGGAUUAGCUAGUUGGUGAGGUAAAGGCUCACCAAGGCGACGAUCCUUAGCUGGUCUGAGAGGAUGAUCAGCCACACUGGGACUGAGACACGGCCCAGGACUCCGUACGGGAGGCAGCAGGUAGGGAAUA
This 312-nucleotide ribosomal RNA is filed under the name uncultured soil bacterium. Its description in RNAcentral is "bacterial SSU rRNA". It matches the Rfam family "Bacterial small subunit ribosomal RNA", at positions 26 to 363 of the family's 1533-position model. The record is from RNAcentral.